AUACGGAGGAUCCGAGCGUUAUCCGGAUUUAUUGGGUUUAAAGGGUGCGCAGGCGGCCAUUUAAGUCAGCGGUUAAAUCGUGGGGCUCAACCCCAUUCUGCCGUUGAUACUGGGUGGCUUGAUUGCGGUCGAGGUUGGCGGAAUUCGUUGUGUAGCGGUGAAAUGCAUAGAUAUGACGAAGAACACCGAUUGCGUAGGCAGCUGACCAGACCGCAAAUGACGCUCAUGCACGAAAGUGCGGGGAUCGAACAGGAUUAGAUACCCUGGUAGUCCGCACAGUAAACGAUGAAUGCUUGUUUUCGGCGAUAUAAUGUCGGAGGCAAAGCGAAAGCGAUAAGUAUUCCGCCUGGGGAGUACGCCGGCAACGGUGAAACUCAAAUGAAUUGGCGGGG
This 392-nucleotide ribosomal RNA is filed under the name uncultured bacterium. RNAcentral describes it as "partial 16S ribosomal RNA". It matches the Rfam family "Bacterial small subunit ribosomal RNA", at positions 523 to 918 of the family's 1533-position model. The record is from RNAcentral.